This 30453-nucleotide long non-coding RNA is filed under the name Vitis vinifera (wine grape). RNAcentral describes it as "long non-coding RNA (VVIN_LNC004479)". Lineage: Eukaryota; Viridiplantae; Streptophyta; Magnoliopsida; Vitales; Vitaceae. The record is from RNAcentral.
AUACCUUAGCCACAGAUCCAUUCAGGGGAAGUUCGUUAUUGUUGUCUAUUUUACCAGAAUUAUUGCUCAAAUUAAAAUUACAGUGAUCAAGAUCUGAUAAUAGGUUGCUGUCCAACGGGUCUUCAGAAACAUAAUGACAUGUCUCAUGGUUGUCAAUAGAAAGACCAUUUUCUGGGUCAACCAUGAAGUGGCUAUCACUUGUAUCUGAGCCCAACAAACUGUGUUCACCCACAUUUUGUCCAGAAGCAUCUCCUGAUAUAAUAAAGUUAGCAAGAGUCUUUUGUGUCGGAUUAGAUAGAUGACCGUCUUUGUCCUCAUUGAAAUGAGACAUGCGCAGGCCUACAAAAGACAGCAGAAUUGGGGUUUCGAAAGGGAGAAAAAAAAAUUCUUUUUUCUAUAAAAAUGGAGUUAAUAUGUUGGAAAUUAACAUAGUUACAAUGCAUCAAGUGGCUAUUAAUUUUAGAAAAGAAUAUGUUUUAGUGAGUUCCUCAAAAUUGAGACAAAUGGUCUAUUGCUAUCUGGCUUUGAUUAUACUUGGAAUAAUGAUGAUGUAUUACAGGACAGGGCCAUCCCUGAUGAAUUUGUGACUACAAUAUCAUUUGGUUUAUUAUUUUCUGUUAUCCCUGCACAUGAAGUGUAAAAUUUUCUUUUUAGCCAAUUCCAAUCACAAAUUGGAUGAUGAUAACUGUUGAUGAUGUUUUUUCCUUUUAACUUUUCUUGGAUAAGUAUGUGAAAGAUGUUAUUAUGCCUUGGUUAUUAAAAUGAGAGUUUACUGACUGAAAGUUGAAGGGUUUGAAAUUAAAUAUGGCCUUUAGCAGGGUGCUUAGGGGAAACCUAUGAAAUCCCAAUAUGGAAUGGAAAUACACUCCUGCUUAAUGUAGAGCUUAAUGUAUUGAUCUUUGCUUUACACUGAUCAAAGCACGCUCUUCACAUUAGUGCUAAUUUUUCAUAUUUUUUGUGGCAUAUUUUACAUGUUCAACUUUCUCAACCAUUACUACUGGUAAAAUUUCAAUAGCCUUACAAUUACUCGCUCCCGGAUAGAAGCUUCAAUUCCUCACAAACAUGGGCCUGCUAUUGCUGGUUAUGAGGCAGUAGCUUGCUUGAUCUUAUCCAUAAACUAUUUCUAAAAGUACCUUAGUGGCUGUAAGCAUGUUUGUUAGAAAACUUACAAUACAAUGAUAUAAUUCAUUUUCCUGAUGUAAAUCUUAUUUAUUGCUUGGCUGUAUCUCAUCUGAAGUGUAUUUUAUGGUACAAAUAUAAUGCACAAUACAAUGAUACACGUACAACAAUACAUAUAAACAACAAAUAUUAAUAUUUGCCUAGUGAGAAUCUGGAACUAAAAUUUAUAGCCAAAAAUUCAAAAAGCUUUGUUUUGUGGAUUUUGUAAGACACCUAUGCAUUAAAGUAAAAAAUUGGGGAAAAUGACUCAUUAUUUUUUGUAAGAAUCUGCUUCUUCCAGGUUUAAUACAUAUUUAUGGGAAUCUUCUUGACAUAAGACAUAUGGAAGCAACUUCAAAAAGUUACAGAAAAAGAAAAGUGAAAGCCUCUACACUUCCUAAUAAAUAUUUUAUCUUCUUAUUUAUUAUAAUUACUAGAUUUAUCGAGAAACCAUCAUUACAAAUGCUUAAGUUUUUCAAAUUAUUUUUAAAUUUGUUUUCAUAAUUUAUUAACUUUAUAAAAUUGGAAGUGAUUAUUAAAUUUAUUUUUGUUUCUUUUUCUCCUCUAAAAAAAUAUAUACUUUUUAUUAUAUAUAUAUAUAUAUAUAUAUAUUUUAAAAAUUUAUUAGGAUGAAGGAGAUUUGAGUGUGUCAUUUUUCAAUCAUCAUUUUUAUAAAGAUAAUACUAUUGCGCAUCUAACAAUCUCUUCCCCAUUAUAGGGCUCCUAGAACUCGAAUCAUGACCAAACUCUAGGGCUCCUAGAACUCGGAUCAUUUAAUGACAUGUGGAACAUUUAAUAGCACUUAUACAAAUGCUAACAACUUUAUAAAACUGUAAAAAGACAUGUAGAACCUAGGCUGGAUCUCCAAACCAUGAAAAUUGCUUGUAAUUAUUGGUUAGCUUUUGAAUUGUAUCAUAUAUUAGAAAAUGUAUCAAAUUCUCAAUUAUUAUAAAUUCCUUUUGGUAAAGAAUAUUGUAUAAAGUAUUUUCUAAGUUAAUUUAUUAUUGUGAUAUCAUAUUUCCUCAUAGAAUAAGGAAAGUUAUUUAGAAUAUUUUUAUAAAUAUUUUAGGCCAUAGAGGGAAAAAUCUAUAAGAUCGAGAUAGACUCCUAAAGAUUAUAAAAUAUUUGAAGAACUCAAUAGUUAUAAAUAAUAAAAAAACACUAAAACCAAAUUUAAUAUAUAGAAAAUAUUAGUUUUUACUUCAAAUUUAACUUAUUAAAUUAUAAAUUGUAGAAAUUUAAUUAAAUUAAUUUUUUUUUAAAAUUAACUAGACAUAAGCAAAAGUGUAUUAACUAUUCCGCUUUCUCUUUUUCAAUUAUUUAAAUGGAAAAUAUUAAAACAUUUAUAGUCGUAACUAUUAAUUAUGUUGAAUAUGUACACAUUACAUCCAUUCUUGAACAAAUUUAAAAAAAUUUCCUACUUAAUUUGGGUAGCUUAAACAAAGACAUUUUAAUUGUUAAUGGAAAAAUAAAAACCUUUUAUUCAAUUUUAAUGGUAAUAAAUAAUAAGAAAAUAUUAUUAAUAAAAAACAUUGAAUUAUUUGGAUAUUAAGGUGUUAUUUGUUAUUUGAUAUUGUUAAUAACAUACCCUAUUAUUGUUAUUUGUUAUUUCAUUACAAAUUGAUGUUAUUAGUAAUGUUUUAUAUUGUGUAAUUUUGUGGUUAAAAAUGAAAUUGAUUUGAUUUUUUUGGCUUCUUCUAUAGGUAAACUAUGUCUAAUUUAUCGGUGGCAAUAGUUUGUUUUUGUAAUGGGAAAAUGGUGAGAACACAGACCGAUGUUGAUUAUGUUGGGGAUAGAGUUGUGGUUGAACCUAUUGAUGUGCCUCUUGGGACAACAUAUGAACAACUGUUGGAAAUGAUAUACUCGGUCACUGACAUCAAUAAAGAACAUUUUCGAUUAAUACUUAGUUGUAAGUAUCCUAUGAAAAAAGGGAACAAAUUCCAACCUUGCCCAGUAAAGAAUGAUAGUGGUGUAGCUCGAAUGUUAGAAAUGCAUAACAGAUUUGGGAUGGAUGAAGUUGAGUUAUUUGUUGAACAAGUACCUAUUGACUUACAAAUGAAUUCACCACUUGGUAAUUGCAUGCCUUUGUUACUUGGUGAAAAUGAUGGUACUAGUAAGUUCAAAAUCCAUUUACUUUUGAGCAUAGAUCAGAAGAGGAUGAGGAAGACGAAGAAGGAACACAAUGUGAUGAUGACAGUGUAAGAGCUGAGGAUGUUCAUAAUGAUGAUAAUCAAGAUAGGGAAGGUAGCUCGCCUUUUUUAUCUGUUCGUGAGGCAAUUGAAAGAGAACAAAUGAGAUAUGUGGCUGUGGAUGGGGAAGGAUGUAACUUGUCAAACAAUCCAGAUACAGAGGAUUUAGAUGACCCAAUUGAAUUAUCUCCAAUGCAAUAUCAUUUGGCACCAUCACCACAGUUUGAAAAUGUUGAAAACAUUGGUCAUGUUGUGUCAAGUGAAUGGACCCCAUGGGGAAACACUCUUAUGGGACAUCCAACUGGAGAGUUCAUAGUUGGACAAAUCUUUAAUUCCAAAGGAGAUUUGCAACAUGCUGUAAAGAUGUACUCUAUUAAUUCGCACCAAGAGUAUAUCGUUUUGUCAUCCACAAAGAAAUUGUUGGUCCUAAGAUGCAAGAAAGCUGAACAGUCUCAAUGUCCUUGGAGACUACGUGCUACAGUUGUUAAAGGGACAUCUUUAUUUGAGAUCAACAAAUAUAGUGGCCCACACACAUGUGUCAAUCCUUGCAUGAACCAAGAUCAUCAUCAGUUAGACUCAAACCUGAUAGCCGCCCAUAUAGAGGGAAUGAUUAAGACACAAUUCACACUUUCAGUGGCUGCCAUUCAAGCAAGUGUUGUAGAAAGAUUCGGGUACCAUAUCUCAUACACUAAGGCUUCGAAAGGCAAGCGUAAAGCAUUAACUAAUUUGUUUGGUGAUUUCUAUAAAUCAUACGCUAAACUGCCACAUUUUUUUGGUGCCUUAGAGCAAGCCAAUCCAGGAUGUGUUGUAAUUUCUAAAACAUUCCCAGGAAAUAUGCGAAAUGAAGAGGUAUUUCAGCGAGUCUUUUGGGCAUUUCAUCCUUCCAUAGAGGGCUUCAAGCAUUGUCGUCCUGUGUUAACUAUUGAUGGUACACACUUGUAUGGGAAGUAUAAGGGCACUGUAAUGAUUGCCAUGGGCUGUGAUGGAAAUAAUCAAUUGUUUCCUUUUGCUUUUGCAUUAACUGAGGGUGAAAAUGUUGAUAGUUGGGGAUGGUUUUUGGCAUGUAUUAGAAAUCGAGUAACUCAAAGGAGGGGUCUUUGUGUUAUCUUUGAUCGUCAUCCGAGCAUUAUGGUUGUGUUUGCUGAUGUUUACCUUGGUUGGUCUGAGCCAAAUGCAUAUCAUCGAAUUUGUAUGCGCCAUCUUGCUAGCAACUUUAUGACUCACUUUAAGGACAAAUGCUUGAAACAACUUUUAUGCAGAGCCGCCUUAGAAACUAAGGUAGAAAAAUUCAACAUGCAUAUGGAGACAUUGGGAGAAUCGAUCAAAACGCACUCAGUUGGUUGGAGGGUAUUCACUUUGAGAAAUGGGCACUAUCACAUGAUGGAGGUCGACGAUAUGGCAUAAUGACUACAAACAUGUCAGAAGUGUUCAAUAGUGUGCUUAAAGGGGCACGGAGUUUCCCUAUCACCGCAUUUGUUCAAUUGACAUUCUAUCGACUUAAUAGUUACUUUGUUGUAAGAAGAGAACAUGAUGCUAGUCGACUUGCUUCAAGUGAACAAUACACUCCUUAUGUUGAUGCUAAGAUUAAUGCAAAUGUUGUUAAGGCAGGUUCUCAUGAGGUUGUUUUGUAUGAUCACUUCCAAGGACUGUUUCAUGUGAAGGCUAGUAGGGGUAGCAAAAAGACAUCAUCUGGUGGAAGAACACAUCGUGUUAACCUACGUGAGCAUGUAUGCACAUGUGGCAAAACACUCAUAUAUGGAUUCCCAUGUAGUCAUAUUCUAGCGGCAUGUCAUUUUCGUUCAAUUGAUUUUAGAUCAUUUGUUCAACAUUAUUACACUAUACAAUCGUACUUUAGCACUUGGGCACCACUGUUUAACCCCAUACACAAUGAGUACGAGUGGCCACCAUAUGUUGGUCCAGUUAUUGUGCCUGCAGAUUCAAUGAAACGUGUGUCAGGUGGACGACUUAAAUCUACUCGUUUGCACAAUGAAAUGGAUGUUAGAGAAGGUAAAACCUCAGUUACAUGUGGUUUGUGCAAACAAAGUGGUCACAAUCGUCGUUCUUGUCCAAAUAAGAACAUGGGUGCUGGGCCUUCAUGAUGGGUGCUAGGCUUUGGAUGUUGAUAUUAUGUUAUUUGUAUUUUGGACAAUACUUAUGUUAUAAGAGAGACUUUGCUGUUAAUUUCAAAAUUGUAAUAUGAAUAUUUUGAUGAAUCAGGUUGUUUGUAUUUUGGAGAAUACCCUAUUUAUAAGGGAGACUCUAUCGAAAUUUUUAAUAUUUGGAUGCGAACAUCAUAUUAUUACAUUUUUCUUUUCAUUAUUGUCCUUGGAUAUUGAUAUUGGUUGUAGAUGAAUAUUUUGAUUAAUCAGGUUUUUUUUUUGUAUUUUGGAGAAUACCCUAUUUAUAGGGGAUACUCUGCCGAAAUUUUUAAUAUUUGGAUGUGAACUUUAGUGUUUGAUAAUUUUUUUUAAAUUAUUGUACUUGGAUAUUGAUAUUGGUUGCAAAUAAAUAUUUUGAUUAAUCAGGUUAUUUGUAUUUUGGAGAAUACCCUAUUUAUAGGGGAUAUUCUGCCGAAAUUUUUAAUAUUUGGAUGUGAACUUUAGUGUUUGAUAAUUUUUUUUAAAUUAUUGUACUUGGAUAUUGAUAUUGGUUGCAAAUAAAUAUUUUGAUUAAUCAGGUUAUUUGUAUUUUGGAGAAUACCCUAUUUAUAGGAGAUACUCUGCCGAAAUUUUUAAUAUUUGGAUGUGAACUUUAGUGUUUGAUAAUUUUUUUAAAAUUAUUGUCCUUGGAUAUUGAUAUUGGUUGCAAAUAAAUAUUUUGAUUAAUUAGGUUAUUUGUAUUUUGGAGAAUGCCCUAUUUAUAGGGGAUACUCUGCCGAAAUUUUUAAAAUUUGGAUGUGAACAUUAGUGUUUGACAAUUUUUUUUUAAAUUAUUGUACUUGUUGGAUAUUGAUAUUGGUUGCAAAUAAAUAUUUUAAAUUAUAAUAGUAACAUUAUUUUAUUAUGACAGUAUAGUAAUGGAGCAUAGAGAGGGCAGAUUCGAUCCAGAUCCAUUAGAUUGCUCUAUUUUAGCGCUACAGGACAGACAUAGGUCUCAAUUAGUGGAUUCUGGUCAGGUAUAUAUGUAUAUAUAAAUAUAGAUGUAUAGAAAAACAUAAUCAUAAACCUUAAUUAAGUUCUUAUUUAAUCGAAAUGGUAUCUUUUGUAGCUUAAUCAGGUAUUGACAUGUCGACAACGUUUAUGGACAUUCAUGCGAGAGUGGGAGAUGGACCCUCGUAUUCGGCGAUAUGUGAUGCAGUCUGGAUUUUAUGGUGUAUAUCGUGUCGGACACAUUUCACUAGAUUGGCCAUUGAUCACGAGUCUUGUUGAGCGAUGGCGGCCCGAGACACACACAUUUCAUUUACCUAUUGGAGAGAUGACUGUUACUUUACAGGAUGUAGCCAUGAUUCUUGGAUUACGUAUUCAUGGGCCUCAUAUCACUGACACAUGUGACAUAGAUUGGUCACUACUAUGUUUUGAGCUUUUAGGUGUCGUCCCACCUCCAUCUCAGAUUAGAGGGUGAUCUAUAUCAGCACGAUGGUUGCGUGAGCAGUUCUCAUAUCCACCAGCAGGGGUCGAUGAUGUUAUUUUACAGCGUUAUGCGCGUGCUUUCAUAUUAGCACUAUUGGGUGGAGCAUGGUUCGCAGACAAGACUGGCACACAUGUACAGUUAUGUUACCUUCCACUGUUGAGAGACUUCACUGAGAUUUCUCACUAUAGUUGGGGCAGUGCAGUGUUGGCAUACCUAUAUGGAGAGCUAUGUCGUGCGAGUUUAGAUAGUGCCACAGAGAUUUCUGGACCUAUCACACUAUUACAGGUAUUUCGACAUAACUAUCUAUUAUAAUUAAUUGACUCACAUUAUUGUUGUAAGUUGUCUAAUUUUGAUAAUGUUAUCUGAUUUUGUAGUUGUGGUCAUGGGAGAGACUUCAUGUGGGUCGACCUGAUUUCGAUCGUCCUCCAAUGCCUAUAGUAGUCCCACAUGUACAUGAUGAUGUAGUUGAUGGUUUACAUGAUCAUCUAUUGCCAGAUGAGCCACUCCCAAUCCAUCCAUUGGGCCAUAGGUGGAGAGUACCCCUGUCUUGGUCUCAUAACCCAUCACCACAUGUGUUGACAUUCUAUCGAGAUCAAUAGGAUGCCCAGACACAGGAUCAGGUAAAAUGUAGAUGCGUAAGAUUACCUUUGCAAUAUUUUCCACCAAUGUGACUAAUUAUUUUUUAAAAAAAUUACAGGUAUUAUGGGAACCAUAUACAGCAGAUUUGAUUGCACAUCUUCCGGCUAUAUGUCAGGUUGACGAAGAAAUUUGGCGAACUAUGUCACCUCUAAUUUGCUUUGAUAUUAUCGAGUGGCAUAGACCAGAGUGAGUUUUACGCCAAUUUCAUAUGCAACAAGGGAUACCUCCACCUUGUUUGAUAGAUAUGGAGCUACAUUUAGUGGAUAGGCGAGGACGACAUCAAUACGAUUGGGUCACAUUCCAUGCUCAAUAUAUUUCUCUUUGGGCUACUCAUUCUAAGCGUAUUGCGACAGCACCACUUGUGAUUACUACCAUGUCUUUUUAUGAUCCAUAUAUGCAGUGGUAUCGACGUAUCACGCGAUGCCUGAUCGCACCUGUUUUGCAUAGAGAUCAUAUGAGGUUCCAUAGUACAGCUUCUGCCACUGAGUUAUUGGUGAGAGCAUUUGAGAUACAAAACCAUUUUUUAAUGAAUGUUAAACUUAAAUUAUGUGCAAAUGCCUCAUGUUUUAUUUUCUUAUACAGAUCACCGCCGUAUCGCAGAUGGCUAUUUCAAAUGAUUUGGAGGAAACUCACCGAAUUGCUAUUGAUGUUUUACGUGCUAUAGGAGAGGACCAUCGCGUACACUCGACACAUGAGCCAUCCACAUCUUCAGGAUCAUCCAUGAGACCACCAUCAUUGAUUACGCCUGUUAGGGUACCACCCAUUAGAGGUCGGGGGAGAGGUGGUCGUCGAGCUGGUCACCGACAUGUACCUUUGGCAUCUACUUUGGUACAACCCUCACAUCCACCAGUCACAUCUACCUUUCCUUUAUUUCAGCCAUCUACAUCAUUAGAGUUGCCACUUUCUCCCCCUGAUGUAUCCAUACCAGCCUAUUCACCUCGACCCGAGACUACCAUACCAUCUACCCUUACCCCUGUUCAGCCAUCUAUAUCAUUGGAUGCACCCCCACCUAUUGCAGAGUCUUUUGCACCCCCACCUAUUAUAGAGUCUAUUGCACCUCCACCUGUUACAGAGUCCGUUGCACCUCUACCUUUUCUUCAAGGGACAGCUCAUGCUGCACGAUUACAUGUACGGGUACCUAGAGGACAUCGAGCUCCACGUGUACGUCGAGUUCUACCUCCAUCAGUUCCAUCUAUCUCGACAACUCAUGUAGAUGACGUGUCAUAGUCUAUAGAGAUGGAGACUUUUCAGAUAGCAUAGAUGGAUACAACAAAUAUGGCCAUCUACCGUAGAUGUUCACAACGAAAGAGAAAGAUUCCAUCAUGUGGGACACAUUGAGAUCUUUUUUCAUGUUUGUAGAACUAUUAUACUUUGGUUUAUACAUUUAAGGUUAUAUAAAGUGUUAAUUCAAAUUAGUGAUGUUAUGUUAUUCACAUGUUUCCUUGAUAAUUUAAACAAAUAAAACUCAAAUGCAUCCUAAAGUCUAAAUGAAAGAAAUUCUAACUAAAUAAAUUAUUACAACCAUUACCUAUUUUUCUUUCAUAUAAUUAAAAAAUUAUACAUUUUAACCAAGACUUAAGUUCAAAUCAUACUUAAUAAUAAAUAACCUAAAAUCAUAAUCAUUGGCAUUAAUUUUCAUAUGAAAAUAUAAAAUUUUAAAAUAAUAUAAACAAUUUCUUUAGUUAUUUUAAAAUUUUAAAAUAAUAUGAAUAAAUAAUUUUCUUUAGUUCAUAUGUGAAAAUAUUUGUAAAACAAAUAAAUAUUUUAUUUACUAUAAAUAUAUAAAUUUUUAUGGGAGUGCAAGUAGACCAAAUUAUUUUCUCAAAUUUCCAAGGAAAAUAUGAAAAAAUAAAGAUAAUAUAUAUAUAUAUAUAUAUUUAAAACAGUCGUAACAAAAAAAUUUAUGAAAAGCAAAGUUCUAAAAUCCCAUACUUUUUUAUACAUGAGUUCCCCUUAAAAAUAUUUGUGAAAAUUACAACAUAAUUGUAAUUUUGAUAAAAAAAAAUAUUUUAAAAAUAAUAUUAAAAUUACAACACCAUUAAAAUAUUGAAAAUAAUUGUAAAACCACAAUUACUAACUGUGGUUUUAUGGUUGUUUUGAUAAAAAAUAUUUUUAAAAUAAUAUUAAAAUUACAAUACUAUUAAAACAAGUGUGAAUUAAAAAUAAUUGUAAAACCAUAUUUGCUAACUAUGGUUUUAAGGGAAAUUGUAAAACCACAGUUUGUAACUGUGGUUUUAAGGAUACUUCUUUUAAAACCAUAGUUAUAGUAACUAUGGUUUUAUGGGUAUUUUGAUAAAAAAAAUAUUUUAAAAAUAAUGUUAAAAUUACAACACCAUUAAAAUAGAUGUGGAUUGAAAAUAAUUGUAAAACCACAGUUAGUAACUGGGGUUUUAUGGUUGUUUUAAUAAAAAAUAUGUUUAAAAUAAUAUUAAAAUUACAAUACUAUUAAAACAGGUGUGGAUUAAAAAUAAUUAUAAAACCACAGUUACUAACUGUAGUUUUAAGAGAAAUUGUAAAACCACAGUUACAAACUGUGGUUUUAAGGAUACUUCUUUUAAAACCAUAGUUAUAGUAACUAUGGUUUUAUGGGAAUUUUGAUAAAAAAUAUAUUUUAAAAAUAAUAUUAAAAUUACAACACCAUUAAAAUAGAUGCGGAUUGAAAAUAAUUGUAAAACCACAGUUACUAACUGUGGUUUUAUGGUUAUUUUGAUAAAAAUUAUUUUAAAAAUAAUAUUAAAAUUACAACACCAUUAGUAAAACCACAAUUAGUAACUGUGGUUUUAUUGUUGUUUUGAUAAAAAAAUAUUUUAAAAAUAAUAUUAAAAUUAUAACACCGUUAAAAUGGGGAUGGAAUAAAAAUAAUUGUAAAACCACAGUUAUUAACUGUGGUUUUAAGGGAAAUUGUAAAACCACAGUUUAUAACUGUGGUUUUAAGGAAACUUCUUUUAAAACCGUAGUUAGUAACUAUGGUUCUAGGAGAAAUUAUAAAACCACAGUUUGUAACUGUGGUUUUAAGAAAAUUUAUGUAAGUUUUAAAACCACAGUCACCAACGGUGAUUUUUUACACUUAAAAUCCAUAUGGAUGCUUACUUGGACAAAGAAAACUACUUUGACAAAUAUUUUCAAAUGGAUACUAUUCUUAUUAUUUUUUUUUACAAAUAUAUUAUUUUGUUCUUAAACUCCAUUAAUCCUGUUGUCAGAAUCCCAUCCCGUGUUAGACUGCAAAAGUCUAAUAAUAAAGGUCUUGAUAAGGAGAAAUCACAAGAGCAUUUAUUACAUCAAUAAUUAUUAGCAAUCAUCUGGAGCCCACGAUCAAGAAGAGGAUCCAGCUGGAAACCUAUUCAAAAAUGUCAUCAAUCCCAGUAUUUAUUUCUUACUUUAUUUUUUUAUUCCAUUCAUUUGCUUAUCACUUUUUUUGUUUUUCCCUUUUUAUCUCGUUACAUCUUUAUCCCGAUAUUUAUACUUUCAUUAAAUAACUUAAAUUUUUUUUAUAUAUUUUAAUGAUGAAAUUUAAAAUCUUUACUUUCAUAUAUUUUUCCUUUUAUACUUUUUGUUACCCAUUAUUAUUAUUAAAUAUUAAUAUUACUAUUAAUAUAAUUAUUUAUAAUAUUAAUAUUUUAAAUUAUUCAUAUUAUUAUUAAUAUCAUUCUUAUUAAUAUUAUCUAUUAUUUUUAUGAUCAUUAUUCACCUUAUUAGUCAUAUUUUUAAUAUUAUAAUAAUAAUAAUUUUAUUAUAUUUAUAUUAUUAUUAUUAAAAAAACCCUAAAAGAUAUUUUCUAAUUUUUUUUAAUUCUUAUGGUUCAUAAGCUUUAUUAAAAAAAUUAUUCUGUGCUUUUUAACCUUUUAACUUCAUAUGCUACAUUAAAAUUAAUUAUAUUAUUAUUAUUACUUUACAAAUAUUAUUUUUAUGAUGUUAAUUUUAUAUUUUAUUAUUAAUAUUAUUAAUAAAACUAAUAUUAUAUCCAAGUUAUAGGUGUGAAAAUAUGGUGGCAUUAUUAGCUGGCUUUUCAGUCAUUCCGAUGAAGAAAGUAAUAAAAUAGAGAGAGAUGAGAAAUGUUGAACUGUCGGUUGCAUUAUUGGCCAGCUGGCUUUGAAUCAUUCUGACGAAGAAAGUGAUAAGAGUGAUAUGAAUAUGACCUUUUUCAUUCGGAUGAAGAAAGUAACAAAAUAGAGAGAGAUGAGAAAAGUUGAACUGUUGGUUGCAUUAUUGGCGUGCUGGCUUUGAAUCGUUCUGACGAAGAAAGCGAUAAGAGAUAGAAAGACGAGUGAUAGGGAAAUGACGAGUUUUAGAUGGGGAAGCCUUUUUCAAAAUCAUUAUCACACUAGAUUAGUAUCCUUCCCCAUAUUUUAAAUUCUAGGGCAGUGCGGCCGGUUCUUGGAAAAACGGUUCAAUUACCCCUCCUCUAAACAGGUCCUCCUUCCAUUUAAUGGAUUUUUGGCGGAAGCCCAACCCAUAUUGCCACCACCUAUUUGUUGGUUUUUAGGCAAAAAGCCUGUCCAAACAAGCCCGCCUUACAUUGCCACAUGCUGGGCUCAACCUUAAACCCACAAGGCUUGGACAUGUCAACACCUUGGCUGAGUUCUCCAUAUCCUUCUUACCAUCUGUUGUGGGAUUGAUGGACCUCAAGUUGAGGAGAUGACAUGGGCACCACUCUGAUGCUUAUUAUAUCAAACAAAAGAAAAUAUAUUAUUUUCUAAAAUAAUUUAUAAUAACAAUAUAAUAUUUUUAAAAAUAUAAAAUUAUCCCUAUGCCAACUUGACAGUCAAACUAAAGCAUUUACACACUUUACUAAAAACAUAAAAGGGUUUUUCUUGUUUGUUUAGUAAUGUCAAGCUUUGGCAUUGUUAUUGAAUGAAGAAUUUUCAUCUCUAUUAUUGAUUUUUUUAUUUAAAACUAAAGCAUUUCAAAUUUAUUAUUAAAAAAAGGUUUCAAAUUUAUUUAAAAUAAAAAUUAAAAAUUUUAUCUUUAUUUUAUUUAAAAGAAAUUUUCAAUUUUAUUUUAAGAGAAAAGACUUCUUAGUUUUAUUAAAAAAAUUUAAAAUUUUAUUAUUAUUUAAGAAAAAUAUUUUUUUUUCUUUCUUUUUUUUUUUUUGUCUUAAAAGAUGAUUUUGUUAAAAAAAAAAAAAGGAAAAUUUUUUUUUAUUUAAUUUAAUUCAAAAGUUAUACAAUGUUAUUUUAAAGAAAGAUUUGACAAUUUUAUUGAAAAGGAUUUUGUAGUUUUAUUUAGAAAAAACAUUUUUGAUAGUCUUUUCUUAAAAAGACAUUUUCCUACACAGUUUAUUAUUAAACAAAAUUUUUUUGGACAGUUUACAUUUAAAAGACAUUUUUGGAUAGUUUAUUUAAAGACUAUUUUGGAAAAUUUUAUUUAAAAAUCAUUUUUGAUAUUUUUUAAAUUUAAAGUCAUUUUGACAGUUUUGAUUAAAAAAAAAUAUUUUGACAACUUUAUUUUAAAAAAAAAUAUUUACACAAUUUUUAUUCAAAAAACACUUUAGGUAGUUUUUUUUUUAAAAAAAAAUUAUUUUUAAAAAUGACCUGACAGUUUUUAUUUUAUCCUAAAAAAAGUUUCAAUGUUAUUUUAUUUAUAAAUAAAUAUACAAAACAGAAUACGGGAAAAAACCCAAAUAGGUAAUGCUAUUGCUAUAUAUAUCUACCCCUUCACUCGUCUUUGCAUCACUCACCCCACACACAUUCUCUUUCUCCUUUCACAUUUUCAGUUAAGUGAGUCUCAUACUCAACUUCUUACAUUCCUUUCUAGGUUAUUCUCUUGAUCAAAUAAUGUAGUAUUGUGUUGUUUUGCUUUAAAGGCAUGUCAUCAUCCGAUAAGUGAGAAGCAAUUGAAGGAGAUGGGAGAAACCUGAUCUCAGCCGGUUCCAUCCCAAAUGCCGCAGCAAUCUAGGCAGCAAUUGUUAGGAAUGGGGUCAUUUCUUAUGGUAUCAAGAUGGAAAUAUUCAUAGAUCUUCCUAUUGUUGGAAAGAUGAGUAUACCCAUUGAGGCAACUGGAAUGGUACCCGUACGCUUACCUUUUAUGAAUAUGAAUGCUGAUAUUGGUGUUGAUGGUAAAGAGGAGGAGAUAUACAAUUAGCAUGUACUAAAAAAAUUGGUGGGUUUAAACAUGUCUUUUUUUUUUUCCCCCCAAUUGACUGAGCCUCAAAAUUCCCACUUAUAUUUACAAAUCCCCAUUUAAUAAUUUGUAUGUGAUUCAUCACCACUUUGAUCACUACCUUUACAUUGUUAUAGAACCUCCAUCUCAUGCAUGUAUGCAUGCACAGAGUACGUACAUCUUUCUAGUAAUAGAUGGAUAAAAACUAUUUUUAUGCAUGCUUCCUCGUAUUACUAACCUUGGUUGCAAAUUGCAAUAUGUGAUUGCUUUUAUUUUUUUCUUCUAUCUCAUGCAUUCACUUGUGCACACAAUUCAUUGUUGCCAAUUUCAAUUCUUGCAGAAUUAGAGAAGGACCAUAGAAGAUGUCAGCAAAAGUGGUUUGCAUGAUGAGUUUCUACUUUCUAUUCUUCUUUUAUUGUCUAAGGUCAUCCUAAUAAUGGAUUAUUAAUAUUAUGUAAUUGGUUUGUAUGAUAAGUGCUUUCUCUUCUUCUUUUAUUGUGUCUAAGGUCAUCCUAGCUAAAAAUGAAUCAACAUUAGAAUAGUGUACGUGCUAGCAUUGACAUAGCAAGCCAUAACACAACUGCUUGCUCUCUAUUGUCAUAGGGGUUGCACAUAAGAGGAGAAUGAGCAAGAGUUAUACAACCGGCUCCCUUUCUAUAAAUUUAUUAUUAUGAAAAUUACAAGAUAAUUAACACUAAUAAAAAAUUUUAAAACUUAGAAAAAAUUGUCGAGAUUUAUUCGAUGACUAUUAUUAUUGAAUGUUUAAAUUAAAAAUAAAUUAGAAAUACGCACUAUUAUCUUGGAAAUAGUGAGUAGCAUGGUUGUGAUACAAUUCAUUUACAUUGUUGUAAACAUAAUUUAGCAUAGUUGUAAACACCAAGAAUAGAAUUAUUAUAAAUAUUUAAAAAUAUAAGGACAAAUAUAAUAAAUGAUAUAAAUGUAAAUAUGAUAAAUGAUGUUAUUAUAAAUGUUUCUAAAAAUAAGGUUAAACAAUGUGUCACAACAAAAAUCAUUUGAGUCUCUAUUAUAAAUCAUAGAUUAAAAAUAAAUCAGUAAUGUAUUAUAAUACUGAUUGCAUAGUUGUAAUACAAUGAAUUGACAUUUUUGUAAAUAUAAUAGGUAGCACAAUUAUAAAUGUGAUGAAUAGUAUCAUUGUAAAUAUUUCAAUAAAUAAAUAUAAAUAUAAUAAUGACAUUUUAUUAAAUAUGAUGCAUGUGUAGACAUAAAACAAGAAAAAGAAAAAGUGUAUUAAAUUACCACUAAAUUGAUCAUUAAACUUGUGACUUUUUAGUUCAAUAAAAAUUUGAUUUGACAAGGGAUGAAUCACAUAUGUUAAACAUGUGACAUGCCAUUCAAAAGGUUACAUAUGACAAAAUUUGGAAGGUUAUAAAAUCAAAUCUUACAAAAUAAAAUCAAAUAAAAUGAUUAAAGUCGAAUUAGAAAAAAAUAUUGUCCUGUUUAUAAAUUGUAUUCAAAAUGAAGGAAAUAAAUUUUUUAAUUGAAGUCAAAAGGAAAUUAAGAAGAAAUAUUUUCAUGUCCACAAAUUUCUUAAGUGAAUGAGAUAAUUUGUUUAAAUCAAGGAGUCAAAUUCUUUGAAUUAAAGAAUUAAAUCUUAAGGAUUUCAAAUUCUAAUAUUUAAUUUCAUUCAUAGAUAAAGGUGACUUUCUAAGAUGAAGGUGGAUGGAAGAAAAAGCUUUACCAUAGAAAUGGCUUGAUAGGAGGGUUUGACAAAGAUUAAUGCCCUCAUGCUCUCCACCAUGAUGAACAAGCUAUGCUAAAUCCCUCAAUUGAACUUCUAAAAAAAAAAAAAAAAAUCUUAUUAUCAUUCAAGUGGUUAACUCAAACAAAGUUUCACAAUAAAAGCUAUUUUCGGCUUUUAUUAUAGGUCACUGACCCAAAGAUCAAUAUUGUGAAUCUAUGGUGAGAUUUUCUCCUCUUAUAGAACUCCUAAAAUAGACCUCAUGGCUUGGAAUACCCACUAAACUAUUUUAAAUAAUAAAUAUAGUAAAAGGCUUGGUUGAAGAUCAUAUGAAAAAGAAGACUUCAUUCCACAAAAACUUGUCCAUAUAUUUGGCCUCAGACAAGUCAAGUGGGAAUUAUUUGUUUAAGAACAAUGUACAAUGAAUGAUGUGUUGAACAAUUAGCAAAUUUACUUGAAAUUAAAACAAUAACUUGGUGUUGGAGAUAUUAAACUAAUUUAAAUUUUAAGUCAAACAUAAUAAAAGACUUUAUCCAAGAUCUUGUAUUGUAUGGAAUAAAAAUUGACUUCUUGUUUUAUGUGUUUUUACGAUUUUAUUGUUCAAGUCAUGAAGGCAUAUCAAACCAUCAAUCCUCUAGAUCUUCAUAAGUUGAUCAUAAAAAUACAAAUCCUUAUGCUACUCAAAACUUGUGUAUACAUCCCAUGAAACUUGUAUAUAUUCGUGAUAUUACUAACGAUUUGAAAAUUAAACUAGAUUGAUCAGUUUCAUCGGUUUAAUAACAUAAUGAUCAUUACAAAAGUUAUAAAAUUAUCAUUUAUAUAAUUUGGACAUAUGGAUAAAAUUAAAUAAUAGAAAUUUUCCUCUAUUUUGUACAAGUUCAUAGUUAAACAUUAUGCAUAUUUUGUUUAAUAAAAUUUAAAAUAUUAAUAUAUUAUAUUUAUCUUAUGAUUUAAUUUGAUACUAUUAAAGAUAAAAAAAAAUUAAUUAUAUAUAUUUGGACAGUUAUAAUUAUUUUUUAUUUUAGUAAUAUAUAAAUUAUCUAUUUAGAACAUCAUGAUCGUUCAAUAGUGGUUCAACUAUUGAUUUGAUUAUUGAACCAUGAAUCGAUAAUUUUUUUAAUUCAAUGACCGAUUCAGUUAUAAAAAUAUUAGACAUUAUUAUUUACUAACUAUAAAACUAGUCUAAACAAAGCCUAAAUGUGAAAGUUGGCUAAAGGGAAGGGUCACCUUCAUUCCAAUGUUAUAAAAGAGAGCGGGGUUUUCAUUUCCAUGAACUGCUCAGCUAUGUACGACAAAAAAAUUUUCAUUUGAUGUUGGCUAGAUCUUGAAAUUAAUUUUUAAUAUGUACCAUAUAGAAAACAAAUUCUCAUUUUUCCUUCACUCUUAAUGCUUGGAAGUAUUGAGUUAUUUUGAAAAAAAUAAUAAAAAUAAUAAAGAGAAGCAUACCAAUGUAACUCCUAAAUAGUGCCAGAGCAAGAAAAUCUCACAUUUUGGUAAGUUUAUUGAAAGUAUAGUGACAGGUCUAAUACAAGGCAUUUCAGAACAACUUAAUGCUUACUAGUAUCAGUCUUGUCCUAUCUAAGAAAUUAGUUGUUAUUCUCAAAUACUCUAAUUCCUUCAAAUAGGGAGGGUUGUGUUUGGGUGAUUGCUCUUGAAUCCAUCUUCUAGUGAUUGUGCUUUCAUGUCGAGGGACUUUACGUAUUAUAAUAAAACCUUGACAAAUAAACCUUUUAUAAAUUCAUAAUUUCAAUUAAAAAAUAAAAUCUUUUGGUCUCAGGCCAAUUUACAAAAUUAAUAACCUUGUUGAAUGUACAAGAUAAUGUUUUUUUAUAUUAAAAAAAAUCCUUGAAAACCCAAGAAAAUAUAAAUUAAUAAUUGAAGUCCACAAAAAAUAGUAAAUAAAAAUUUAUUAUACUAUAUUUAGUAAUGUUUUUAAAACUUAUAUUUUUCUCAAUUCAAUAUUUUCUCAAAACCAUAACAUAUUUAAAACCAUUUUAUCUUCUAUAAUAUUAACUUUUGAUAUAAUAUUUCUUCCUUUUACAACUUUUUUUAACUUUUAUAAUUAAUAACCAUAUCUUUUUUUAGAGUCUUAAGUUUCUAUGUAUUAAUUUUUGAAUACAUUCAUAAUUUUUUGUUGUGAAUUUAUAAAUCAUACAUGUAUAAUUACUUACAAAAGAAACAUAACAUUUUUUUUUAAUAAAUUACUAAUUAUUCAUUUAUUGAUAAAUCAAUAACCUCAUUAAGAUAAUAAUUUUUUUGAUGUAAUGCUUUUACUUUUCUAAAUUUUCAACAAAGCCAUGACCAAGAAAACUAAAAAUGGCUAAGAUAAUAUGUUAGUUUACAACUGAUUCAUCCAAGUUAAGUCUAUUAGAGACUAGAAUAAUAUGAAUUGAUUAAAUAAAUGGAAAGACCUGUACACCAAUAAAAGAAUUAUAACUAAAUUCUCAAGUAUCAUUGAUCAAAUCACAAUAUAUUUGGCCUAUGAAAUGAUGGUUUGAUGUGCCUCUACAUUUGGAUCAUAAACAAGUGUUCACAAUAUGAGAUAUAACUAUUCAAGCAUUUGGAAAAAUAACUAGAAUGUUGGGUACUAGGAAUUGGUUACAAAAUAUUUAUGAAGUUAAUAGAUAUGAAAUAUCCUCAACAACACAUUCAUUGCUUAAUAUCAAUACAUAUAGGCAAGAAUAAUACUAAUAAAGUUUCCUAAAUUCACUAACAAUUUAAAUCAUGGAGAGUUGAAUUGUAGCAAUCUAGAAAUAUCAAGCUUUAAAGCAAAGCAUACAAAAGAUCUAGCUUAUUUAUUGAAAGAAAUCAAGACACUUAGAGAGAAAAACCUUCCGCUAGUUAAUUUAAAUGAAGGAAAUAUCAUUAACUAGCGUCUUUCUGCCAAGGAUGGUAUCUGUGCAGCUCCUCAAAAGAAGGAAAUCUCACAUACCUGACAAAAAAAAUGAAGACAAUAAGAACAAAAAGCCCUUAUACUAAGAUAAGAUAAUAUAUAUAUAUCAUAUAUGUCAAAGAAAAAUACAAACACCUAUUCAUUUUUCUUCAUAUAGAAAAAUUAAAUCAGUUGUCCUGGUUGUGGUCUGUCAUCAUCUUCAUCCUCCUAUUCAUCCUCUCACUUCUCUCCCACUCCCUCCUCUUUCUAUCCCUCUCCACCAUCCUCAUCUUUCUCAUCACAUCCUCCUCUUCGUUGACCUCAUCAUCAUCGUUGUUGACCACAUCAUCGGUCACUAUCUCCAUAAUCCCAUUCUUUAGAAUCCUGGGCAUUCGAUACACAAAACAUCACAAUGGGUAGGAAUAAGGAAAAGUAUAAUAAUAAAAGUUUUAAAAAGCAAUUAGGAUAGGAGCACAAAUCAUGGAAUGGUAGAUCAAACUACUGCUAUAUUGUAUCCUUGUCUCCUUUAGAAGUGAUAGUGUAUUUAGCCCAGAAUCUUGGGCUAGAGUUGGACAACAUUUGGUAAAGACCCAUAAACAACGUUAAGUCCCAGCAGGUUCUUCUAUCCACAAAUGAGAGUAAGAAUUUCGUAUAAUUGUUUGCCUUUAACCUUUGACCAAAGGAAGGACAUCACUAUCAAUAUGAACAUGUCCAUUGCUUAUCUCCAAAGAUUGAAUGUUUUUGUUAACAAAAUAAAAAAUUAAAAGUUGCGUGAUUAAAUGUUUACAAUAAGUGACAAAGACUGGACAAUCCUUACUUCACUUAUUGCUCCUAAAUGAUGUGUAUUCCAUCAUAAAAUUAAUUUUCGGUACUUUGAAACAAAUCUAAGCAAAAUAAAAUUUCUAUUUUCUUCGUACUUUUGCUUGUGACUAGUUGAAUUGAUAGUUUGUGAAACCCAACACAACUAUCAUUCACCCUAGGUUCUAACAACACUUCAAUUUUCUAAUCCAAUUAAACUCCUUAACUCAAAAACAAAGUAGAAAAGGAAAACACUAUGUACAAUAGAUAAUCAUUUUCUAUCAAUAUCCAAUAUUAUCCUCAAUCAAACAUCAAAUAUUAAAGAAUUUUGAAAUUUUGAGAAUGAUUUACCUUCAAAUGUGUUUGUAUUCUAACUUAUAAUUUCAACCAUAAUAAUAGACUGUCUCAAGGUCUACAUUUAAACUAACUGAAAAUCUAUGUAUGAAUAUUUUGGCAAACACUUUUUGCACAAAAAACCCCUUGACCUCUUCAUGCUUGCCUUUAAAUUUGUUGAAAUUCCUAGGAAUGGUUACUCAUGUUUUAAAGGUUAGGCAUCAAAGAUUGGUAGGUAUAGCUACUAAGCUAAGGGAACAAUUAACAACUAACAAAGCAAACUUAACCCAAAUAGACAAUAAACUAAGCAACAACAAACAAUAAGAGCAUAAAAGGAUCCAUACAAACCCAUGCAGAAUUCUGCUUCCAUCAAAUCAGGUUCCUUGUACUAAAAAAUUAAACAGACUAAACAUAACACAAACAUUAUAUGGGUUUGCUCUGUGUCUUUUUCUCACAGUUAGACAAAUUUCUGAGAGAUGAAAAAGAAAUAAAAUUAGAAUUCACAAAUUUCUAAAGAAUCGCGAAGGUGAAAAAUAGUGUUUAUAAUAUAAUGACAUUAGAAAAUUUCAAGAUAUAUACCUUCUCCAAAGCUGUAUUAUGGAUGAUGGUAUUGAUGUCACACCCCAAAAAAUGCUCUUCCGCAUGAUCGUCAAUUUUUACUUCCUUUACCCUUGGUGUACUUGGGACUGUCUCACAAAAAUAUUCCAUCUGAGGGCAUCCUUUCACCUCAAAUUGUUCCAAGGAUGGGAAUUUGAAGAUACAUCUAGUUGAGCAGAACCAUUUUAGACUUUGUAAGUGAACAAGUCUCAACCUUUGUAAUUUGGAGAAAACAAUAUCAUAUGGUUCUUCACCUCCCUCAUGUCUGACUAUUUCUUCCACCAAUUCGCAUUUUUCUAUAGUAAGCACUUUGAGCUGCACCAAUGUUUUAGCCAUUGAGGAAGUCACCAGAUAUAUUAAAUUUCCACAACCACGUACUUCUAGAGAAUGAAGAUUCUUAAAAAUUUGACCUGUCUCAACUUGAUAUUCCUUAUCAACAAGUUCGAAUACCUCUUUCACUGAAUUACACUUGUUCACAUGAAGUUCCUCUAGAUUAUGCAACUUUGGAAGCACAUUGGAGGGGAUCACAACCAAAAUGUCGUGACACUCUCUUAUCCUCAAAAGUCUCAGCUUGCAAAAUGACUCCCCUGAAAAUUGGCCUUGCCAUAUUUUCAUCUUGGGGCCCAUUAAGAUCAAUUGCUCCAAAUUAAGGAAUGCAUCCUGACAACCAAACAAACAAGAUUAACGAUAUGUCUUCUAUCUCUCUCUCUCUCUCUCUCUCUCUCUCUCCCCCCUCCCCAAACCCCCCUCUCCAACCUCCCUUUUUGUGGCUAAAUAAAUAAGUUAUAUACACAAUUGUAUGUACAAAAAUAUUUUAAAAUAAAGUAAAAAAGAAUACUCUUGUGGCAUACAAUUUUUUUUUUCUUAUUGUUAUGACUUAUAACUAAGGACCAUGUUUGUUUACUUACCAAAUUAAAAAAAAAAAAAAGUUUUCCAUAAUUUCCUUUCUAAUUUAUACUUAAUUACAUGAGUUUAGUUUCUUUUUUAUGUAUUUCAUCCAACGGCCCAUGCCAAAAAUUAAGUUAGGGGGAAAAAAAAUUUAGGAAUUAAUUUCAAGGAAAAAGAAAAGAAAAAAAAAAUUACCUAUGUAGCUUGAUGGCUAAUCAACAUUGCCCUUACAACUAAUGUCACAAUUAAACACAUACACAUAUUAUUUUCCAUACAAGAUAACAAACCACUACAUCUAAAUAAUCCAUUUCAAUUAUUUGCACUAUAUAUUAAUGACCAAAGACUCUCCCAAAUAAUUAGCACUUGACAUAUUUUGAUGCAAUAUAGAAAUUACCAUAUCUUGGUUUGAGAAUAAUUUAAAUAAACCAAUUCUUAUGGUUUUAUAUGAAUUCUUUGAAUUCAAUAUUAAUGUAAGCAUAACAUAAAAAAAGAGGCUUCAAAAUAAUUUAUUUUCAUUAUAGGUUCAAUCAUGUUAAUUUAAAUAAAUCAAUUAUUUAAAUUUAUUAUAAUUUGUUGGUUCUAUUACAUAAAAUUAUAAUUUGACCAUGAAGGUAUAAUUGUUGGAUAAACCAUAAUGCAUGCUAUACCUACAAACUCCUAUGACUUGUAACUGACUAUUUCUUAUUCUUUGGAUUACCAAGUCAUUUUAUCGUAAUUUGAUUAAUUUAGAAAUGGAACAUAAGCUUACUUAGGUCAAUUUUGGAUAAGUUUUAUACAAAAUGUAGACUUCAAAUUCCAACACUAUUCAAGUUUAAGAUUAAAACAUUAUCAUAUUAAUGAAAAAUGAUUAGGACGUAGUGUUUAAUGGACUAAAUUUAGCAAUCCAAAUAUGGCAAAAGAAAUGGAGAAAAACCAAACCAUACCUUUUCCAACAAGAAGAAAGAUUGUUGAAUUGGACUAUCAAUAUAACCUUCUGAAUCUAUUUCUUGAAAAAGUGUCCCCACUUGAUCCCAUUUCAACAUAAUUAGCUUUUUCAAAUGUGGCCCUCUUGCAAUACGUGUUCCUCGGUAGAAACCUUUGAGUUUGUCUAAUCCUUCGAGUGUGAGAGAGGUUAGUUUAGGGAAUAAUGAAGACUUUACUUCAUCUCCAUGUUCAUUUGCAACAAUUUCCUCCACUCCACAAUUUAUUAUCUGUAGUUCAUGAAGUUGCACAAGGCCUUCUGCUACCGUAAUUGGAAAAAGAUAUUUUAAACAAGGACACCUAGCAACUUUUAAGAACAGUAGGUUUUGAAAGGAGACAAGUCCUUGAGGAUCCUUAUUCCAUACACUCUUCAAACUAUUUAGCCUCUCUAAAAACAAAUGAAGCAAUGGAAUGGUUGCAAUAUCAUGAAUUUCCUUGCAAUUUACUCCCUGUAGAUCAAAAAUCUCUUCUAUGGAAUCACAAUCAUCUAUUUUCACAUAUUCCAAACUUUGUAACCCUUUUAGGAUAUUGGAUGGAAAAACAUUUAGUAAUUUGUUGCACUUUGAUAUUUCCAAACUUUUAAAGUUGCAACAAGACUCUAGAGGAAGUUGGUUGUGCCAAAUUGCUAUCACAUUAUCCAAGGAUUCCAUUGUCAAGUCCUCCAAGCUAGGGAGUGUAACCUGCACAAUCGAUCACAUUUGGUUAACAAUAUGUAUACCCAUGUAUAUAUAUUCCCGAUUGAGUUAAUAACCAGAUACAUAAAUAAAUAGAAUAUAAGAGGUUAAAGGUCAAGAUAUCAAUGUGACAAAGCACAAAACUAGAAGAAAAUGAAAGAGAAUGCAUAAUAUUUUAACAAUUGAAUGGAAUUUAAAGAUGUUAAAUUUGAGAUGAUUUUCAAAUGGGGCAACAGGUUCCCAAUCUUUGGAUCUCUUUUUCAAAAUUGACAAAGCCUAAUGGAUUAUAUAUGUAUUUGAAGCACCCAUGAUAGCCAUCCAUCGAUAUGUUUCAUAGUCUUAUAACAAGUAUCUACUCUUUUUACCAUGCAGUGAUUCCAUUCAAAAUAUUCCACAUAAAUACAAUAAAAAUAACUAUUAAAGCGGGGUGGUUGAAGACCAGGUGGUUUAUGAUGAGGCCUUUCCUUCUAGUUUUUCCUUACUUAGGAAACCACAAAUGCAAUAGAUGCUCAGGCAUGAGCCUUCUUCAUUCACUAAUUAACCUAGCCUUUAGAUUCUUAAAGCUUGUUUGUUGGUGUAACAUAUAUAUAUUUGAGAAUAAUAUUUUUUUAAAUUUACACCAGUAUUUGAAAGUUGUUCUUGAAUAAAUUUUUAAAAAGAAAGUAAAAUAAAGAAUUAUUUUUAGAAAAUAAGUAGAAAUUACUUUCAUCUAUUUUUAAAAACAAAAGGAAACCAUCAACAAAUAAAAAAUAUAUAUUAGAAAAAAAUCAUUAAAAAAAUAAAGUUUAACAAAAUUUCAUGCCUCUAAAUUACACAAUUUUUUUCUAAAUUUCUUUUAACUUAAAUUUUUUUACUAUAAAAAGAGAUUCUAAAUCAAGUUACAUUUAAUAUAUAUAUAUAUAUAUAUAUAUAUAUAUAUAUAUAUAUAUAUAAUUUUAGAAUAAAAAAACUAAGGCAAUAAAUACUAGAAAAUCAUGGAACUUAAAAUCAAUCUAACUAAUAUUAAAAAAUAACAAUUUAAAUCUCAUCUUGAAUUACUUUACUAAUUUCUUCUUGACAAUAACUAUAUUUUUUAAUAGGCAAAUAAACCCCAAAUCAAGGAAGACUUGAUGUAUUGGAAUCUGGCAAGUUUAACAAUAAUUUAAAACUUUAAUACUAAUCUAAUGAAUUCAAAAAAUUUAUGAAUGAAAAUCGGUUCAAAACACUAUAGACAAAUAAACUCUAAAUCAAGUAAGACUUAAUAUUUAGAUUCACUAUCAAGUCUAUUAAAUUUAAAAAGUAAUUUAUGAUUCAUAAAAUAACCCAAUCACCACUAGAAAUUCAACGAUUAAAACUAGUCUAGAACAACUUUUUUUUUACUUCUCCUCUAUAUGUAAUUAUAUUUUGAUGAUUUUUUAUUAGAAAAUAAUUUUAAAUCAAACAAGACUUAAAAGUUUUAGAUUUAUUAAUGAUUGCACUCAUUUUUAAAAAUAAUCUGGAACUCAAAAAUAAGUUUAGACAAUAAUUGAAUAUAAUAAACCAAAACUAGUCCAAAAUGAGUCUAUGAGAGCUAUAUUGUUUCUCCUUUGCACCUUACUAUACUUUUCCAAUUUUUCUCAUUAAGUAAAUAAGCUAAAUAAAGUGAUAUCAAAACUUAAUGCUUUAGAUUCUCUAAUGAAUAUAUUAAUUUUUAAGAAUAAGAUGGAAUUAAAAAAAUUGACUGAAUUAAUUUUAAAUUGAAUCAAAAUUGGUUCAAAAUACUUUAUCCAUUGCUGAGUAUUGAAAAAUCUAACUUAUUUACAUAUAUAUAAAAAAAUAAACUUUAAUUUUUAAUUUAUUUUAAAUAAAACAUUAUUAAUCAUUAGCAUUUUUAAAUUAUAACCAUUCAUAUUUAACAAAAAAUCAAUUAUGCAUUUGUAAAAACAUUGAUAUCCAUAUUUUAUAAUUUAUAUUAAAAUGGCUCAAUUUCUAAAUUAAAAAAAAAAUCAUGAUUUUAUUAUAAUAUUAAUAUCCAUAUUUUAAUACAAACCAUUUAUUUUGUUAAUUUAUUAGUAAUUAAAAAAAAUUAUUUCCAUAAGACUUGAAUUAAAUCGAAUUAAUAUUAUAUAAAUCAACUUUACAUUUUUUUUUUUUUUACAAAAUCUAAAUAUAACAUUUAUUUUAAAAACGACAAAAGUUAAUAAACGAAUGAGUUUUUUUAUUUUUUGUUGUUUAAAAGUGUUUUUAAAAACAUUUCAAACACUCUUUAUUUUGAGAACAAAAAAUCUAGAAAAUUUUUUGGCAACUACCAAAAAAAAUAAAACCUGCUCUCCAAAACAUAAAGCAUGUGUUUCUUGUGAACAUAUUUUAGUUAUUUUAAUUGUUUUCACUUAAUUUAUUUGUUUAUUUAAAAAAAAACAAAUAUAAAGAAUAAUAAAAAAUAAAACAUUCCAUCUAAAAUUUAUUCUUAAAAAAUAUUUGAAAACAUAAAAAAUAAGUUGAAAACAUUGUAAGUUGUUAAUACACCUAUCAAAAAAAAAUUGUAAGUUAUUAAUGUACUCUACUCUAAAAAACAUCAUAGAAUUAUUUUAAAAAUUGUUUUCAAAAAUUGAUUUUUGAAUAAUGUAUUUAAAUUGGAUACUGGUUGUUUUAAUUUAUGUUUUCUCGUAAAUUUAUGGGGCAGAGAGACUAGAAAAGAAAAGGAAAGUGAUAAAAUUUAUGGGGGCAAAGCAUACUGCAUCCAUAUUAUGGAUAAAAUUAAGAUUAUUUUAAAUUGGAUACUGGUUGUUUUCAUUUAUGUUUUCUCAUAUUUUACUUAUUUAUUAAUGGCAGAAAUUGGAUAUCAUUCAAAUUUUAACAUACCUGUUCAUUGAAGAAUGGUGUGGGAACAUCACUCGUACAUAACUCCUGGGUAGCACUGCUUCCUGUGGAGGAGAAGUCCCGUGUCGAAUCCAAGGAUCCCAUUUCAGGUAACACCGAUCCAUUCUUUCCUUGCUCCAUCGGAAGGGAUAUGAAAGAUUUCAACCUCUUACAACCAAUCACUAGUAGAGAACGUAACUUCCCAAAAGAUCCCUCUGGAAUUGGACCAUAGCAUACUGCAUCCAUGUUAUAGAGAUUCCCAAGACGCAAUUCCUCCAAGAUAGGAAGGGCACUGUGUGAUGGGACCCCUUUGGUCGAGUCAACAAUGUAUUGAAUCCCAGGACAAUUUCCGAUAACAAGAUGCUUGAGUUGAAGAAAAUCAUCUGUAUCAAACUCGUAAAGGACAUGCUUAGUGUCCUCCAAGUCAUGCAAUUCUAAAACUUCAACUGUCUUGAACAGCUUGGAAAAGCAGUCCACCAAGCAAGGUUUGUUAACCCUCCAGAGCUUCAACGUUCUUGCGGAUCUAUUAUGAUCAACAUAUCCUGGAAUGGAAUACACUGAUAUCACAUAUCUGGUAAGCUUCUCAAAGACCAGAUCUUUUGAUAGCAAAUUGGGUACCGUUAUUUCUAUAUAUAAAGUCUUCAAAUAGGACAAGUUGUUCAGCUCAGAAAGGCAAGCAUUAUUGCUUUCUCCACUACCAAAUCCUUCAGCCCCCCAUUUGGUAAAACUUUUUGCUAAACAUAAAUGCUCCAAUCGAGAUAAACUUGAUAUGACAUUUUGGGGAAUUACUUCGAGAUGAGAGCAAUCCCACAAGUCCAGCACCCUUAGAUCAGUCAAUUGCAUGAAUUCUUUCGGCAACCGUUCAAUUUCGCAACUUGCAAAACUAAGAACUUGUAGUUUCUUUAGCUCUCCGAUUAAUGCCAUGUCUUGGAGUGUGCAUCGGUAUACACGCAAUGUUCGAAGAUUGGAAAGAAAACCAAGUGAUGAAGGCAGUGGUGUAAGAUGCCUUGCAGACAAGUCCAAAACUUUUAGUAGUUCCGUCUCUUGAAAAAAGGUGUUUGGAAUUCUCAAAGACGGAUCAUUACCAUUCAAUAAAAAGAAUUCAAGUUUGGAACAUACCAAUCUUUCCGGAAGCUCACGGAGAUCUCCGCAUUGCAAAGAUAUACGACUGCAAUUUCUGAACUCCUCCUUCCUUUGCCAUUCUUCUAAUCCAAGAGCUUCUUUGAUCACAACAAAUCGAUGAGGAUCUUUUGCUGCAAUUGCUCUGGCAACAUCACCAACAACAUCAUGCAUUCUGACAAACUUGUUUUCAUCAUUAUUUCCGAAAAACACACCUGGCCCCACACCUGACCGAUAACGAUCUUCAGCAUCAAGCAGCAAGCUCGAGUCUUUGAGGAUUUUGACCAAUGUCACUAGUUUAUUUCUUAUUUGCUCCAAUGAACUCACGUGUUCAAACAAAUCCAAACCCAUGCCAUAUUUUAACAAUUGAUCCAGUGAAAUAUCACCAUAGCCCAGCAUACCACAAAGUAAGAACAAACGCUUCACUUCAUCACCUUUCAAGUGGUUGUAGCUCAACUCCAGACAUGAGUAUACUUUUUCAUGCACGUCCUCGAUGUUUAUUGCUGCAGAAUUCUCCAGUUCUAGCAAAGCAUUGUUCCACACAGCCUCAUCACUCUCGCCUUUUAACGCCUUUGCAACUGUUACAAUGGCAACUGGUAGACCAUCACAUUCUCUAAGUACUUUAAUUGCUAUGGAUUUAAGCUGCUCCACUGAAUCACCUGCUGUCUUCUUAAAUAAACUCCAGGCUUCCUCUUCACAUAAAUGUUGAACACGGAAGUUUUUUUGAGUAGCCAUCUUUCUAGAUAACACACCCUGUUUUCUGGAAGUCAGCAGCACUUUACACCCCCUAUGAGCAUCUCCAUGAGGAAUUCCGAUGUUUUCCAGACUAAGUUCUUCCCAAAUAUCAUCCAGAAUCACCAGGACCGUCUUAUUUUUUUGCAAACUUUUGCUUAAGCGGGCUGCUCUUCCCGAUUCCUCUUCCUCCUCAAAUUUCAAACCUAACAUGCUUGCAAUUUCUCCUUGAAUUUUUGUCACGUUCGGAACUCGGGAUAUAUUUAAUGCCAUAACCACCUUUUCAAAUAACUUAUCUUCCUCGGCCUUUUUCGCUACUUGAUUGGCAAGAGUGGUUUUGCCCACACCGCCCAUCCCCCACACACCAAUCAUUCUGAUAUCAUCAUUUCUCAAGGCCUCCAUAAUUUCGUUUAAAAUAGAUGCCCUCGAUUCCAAAGCUCCACAAUCUCUGAGGCGUGGAGACCAUAUCCCUUGUGGAGGAAGGCCAUAUGAUACCCUGUUAAAUUUAUUUUCUUCUUGGAUUUUACCAAUAUCCCCAGACUGCUUCUUCGCUUGCCUGCUUCGCUGGUACCGCAACUUUAAAUUGAAACAGCUCGUGCUUGCAGCCUUCUCAUCUUCAAUCAAUUCCUUUGCCGUUUGGAUGAUCCCUUCUGUACGUGUCAGCCACUUCUGGACAUCAGGUUCGAUCUCAUCCCCUUGCCUAUUAGCGUCAUCCACAUCUCGCUGCCGCCUCUCCCUUGCAUCACCCAGCUUGUCAACUUGUUCCUCAAGGUUAUCAAGGUUGCUACGGUAGUUAAACAGGUAACCCAGUGGACGUACAAUGGGAGCAACCAGGUACUCUGCAACUUUUGCUGCAAUGGAAAUAAGAAUUUCUGCCAUUUCCCAAGUUUUCUUUCUCUAGAAAUAGAUGGGAAUUGUGCAACAGCAGAUAUCAAAAAGGGAAACGACAGCAGGAGAAGGAAAACACACUAAAAUUUUUGAUAUUUAAUUGAGUGUGACAGAUGAAAAUAAGGAGAUGAAAGGUUGGAGGUAUCAAAAGAGCAGAGUAUGUGGAAGGUUUCAGCUAUCAAAGAAACAAGAAUUUUUUCUUUUUCUUUUUUUCUUUUUUUCCAAAGAGGGAGAAGGGAAACACACCAACAAAUAGGAAAAUGAGAUUGGUUACUAGUAAGAAAGAGAACAAAGGGCAGAGAGCGGGAAUAUUGAGUGAUGAACUGACAAAUGGGCUACAGAUUCAGAUUCAAGAGAAAAAGCUCAAUCAAUGCUAUUGGAAUCAACUAGACAAAAGGAAAACCAGAGAAGGAGAAGUGAGACCGGCCCAGCCAAAUUAAGAUUUUCACGGAGCAGAACACCGGAUUGAAAGCGGGAUCUGGACGAGUUAGGAUGGAGGUGAAGAGAAGGGAGUGAUUAUGGACGAGUAAAUCGCAGAAGAAUGAAAGCAGUAGAGAGAAGGGCCUCAGGAGAAGGAAAACACACAAAAAAAAUGGUAUUCAAUUGAGUGUGACAGAUGAAAAUAAGGAGAUGAAAGGUUUGAGGUAUCCAAAGAGUGUGGAAGGUUUCAGCUAUUAUGAAGGAAACCAGAAAUCUUUUUUUUUUUUUUUUUUUUUGCCGGUUACAAGAGGAGAGGAGAGGAGAGGAGAGGAGAAACGCAAACCAGCAAAUGAAAAUGAGAUUGAUUACUUGGAAGAACGAGCGUGAAGGGGAGAAAGUAGGAAGAGUUGAUAAAAUGAGAGAAGGGCUACAGAGUGGAAACUGAGGAAAAGGGCUGCAGAGUGGAGACUGAGUAAUAUCCAUCACUGACAAUGACUCAUUUUAGUUUUAGUCGCACAUCACAUGUUUGAAUUUGGCAACCAAGACACCAAAAUAACUAAGCUUAUCUGGCUAAGUUGAUUACUAUAGAAAUUGGUUGAAAAUACUUCAUGUAACAUUUAAAAUAUCUUCUUUAUUCAAACACUUUCAUCAAUUCAUUUCUUCCAUUUAUAAUAAAAAUUUUAUACAAUUAUUUUUUAAAAUUACUCACAACAAACAAAGUAAAAAAAUAAACUUUAAAUAAUUAAAAUAUAUUUUUAUAAAACACACUGUUUUCGCAAUAAGAUCUUAAAAAAUUAUUUUUUAAAAAUAUUUUUUAAGUAUGAAAAAUAAUGCUUCUAUUUUUAAGAAAUAAAAGUGUUUUUAAAAAUAGUUAAAAACAUACUCAAAGGUUUUGAUUGGGCGGUGGUUUAAUAAGCACAACAACCUGUCAGCCUUGCAUUUUCAACUAAAGCAAAUUUCUUUGGACUUGGAUCCUUGCUUGAGUGUAAGGAGGUAUUAUUAUUGUGGACUGAAAUUAUUGAGUUUACGGCCAAAGUAGUAUUUCUUUGGAAAAAAAAACCCAAACUAAUCCAGUUUUCAAACUAUUUGCCAAAAUACUCUUUUGAAUCCACAUCAGCAAUCCACGUCAACAAGCCAUCUUCGUCAAACUUGUUUUUUUACUUUGGAGACCCAAUUUUUUCCCGAAAUCAACAAUCCAGAAAGUAUUCUCUGCGGCUCCAUUUUUCGGGUUCAUGAGUUUUUUCCCACUCAUUUUCCUUAGCUUUCUCACCAACCAAACAGAGGAAAACAAGUUGUUUUGAAAAUUUUAAAAAUCUCAAGUUGUUUUCAAUUUCAUAGCUAUCCAAAAAACUUGAAAAACCCUUUCCUCCACCUUGUAUUCCUCUUAUCCUGGAACCCGAAAAACCCUAACCUUUGCCUCAUUUUCCUCUCAUCUCGGAAUCCUGAUAGCUGUCGAUCUGCCCAUGAUUCAUUUUCAUCGUGAUCCAAAAUAUGGAGUUCGGAUUGGAUGAAGGUGGGGGAGAGAGAGAGACUUGGAGAGGUUAAGGUUUAUACCUUAGCCACAGAUCCAUUCAGGGGAAGUUCGUUAUUGUUGUCUAUUUUACUAGAAUUAUUGCUCAAAUUAAAAUUACAAUGAUCAAGAUCUGAUAAUAGGUUGUUGUCCAACGGGUCUUCAGAAACAUAAUGACAUGUCUCAUGGUUGUCCAUAGAAAGAUCAUUUUCUGGGUCAACCAUGAAGUGGCUAUCACUUGUAUCUGAGCCCAACAAACUGUGUUCACCCACAUUCUUUCCAGAAGCAUCUCCUGAUAUAAUAAAGUUAGCAAGAGUCUUUUGUGUCGGAUCAGAUAGAUGACCAUCCUUGUCCUCAUUGAAAUGAGACAUGCGCGGGCCUACAAAAGACAGCAGAAUUGGGGUUUCGAAAGGGAGAAAAAAAAAAUUCUUUUUUCUAUAAAAAUGGAGUUAAUAUGUUGGAAAUUAACAUAGUUACAAUGCAUCAAGUGG